AUGAGGCCACCUCACGCAGCGCUCCUCUUGCUCUUCAUCCUAGCGUACUUCCGCGGUGCCUACUCCAAUGGCAGCCGGAGCCGUUUCACAUCCAUAAUCAGCUUCGGCGACUCCUUCGCCGACACCGGUAAUUUGGUCAUGUGGGCUGAUCCCGUCCUUCCGGGUCUACUACUCAAGAACCUCCCCUACGGCGAGACCUUCUUCGGCCACCCCACUGGACGUGCCACCGACGGCCGCCUUGUGCUGGACUUCAUCGCCGAAGCUCUGGGUCUGCCUUUCGUGCCGCCGUACCUUGACAAGGGGGGCAACUUCUCCGCUGGAGUAAACUUCGCCGUGGCAGGAGCGCCGGCUGUAACCCUGCAAUACCUGCAGGGACAGAAUUUGAUCGUGAACCCUCCUAUCAAUAGUUCCCUCUAUGAUCAGCUCGUGUGGUUCCAGAAACUGAAGCCUUCGCUCUGCAAGGGUCGACAAGGUACUGAUUGCUUCGGGAGCUCCUUGUUUGUCAUGGGAGAGUUUGGAGCAAAUGACUACAGGAGCUUCCUUCUGUCCAACAGGACUGUGGAACAAGCCACAGCUUAUGUUCCCCAAAUCGUUGACAGCGUCUCCCAAGGCGUAGAGGUACUCUAUAUGCUGUGCACAGAAUAG
This 645-nucleotide ribosomal RNA is filed under the name Triticum aestivum (bread wheat). Its description in RNAcentral is "partial small subunit ribosomal RNA". The record is from RNAcentral. Lineage: Eukaryota; Viridiplantae; Streptophyta; Magnoliopsida; Poales; Poaceae.